Eptesicus fuscus (big brown bat) is the source of this 453-nucleotide long non-coding RNA. RefSeq lists it as uncharacterized. The transcript is spliced from 5 exons. Lineage: Eukaryota; Metazoa; Chordata; Mammalia; Chiroptera; Vespertilionidae. The record is from RefSeq and is a predicted model, not a curated record.
AGCAAAAAAGGGCCAAAGAGGAGCCAGGACUUUCAGAGCCCACAUCCUGCGGCCGGGCCUAAAUGCUGGUAGACUAGGGGAUCCCAGUGGUGGGAGAGUGAGCCAUCCAGAGCGCCGCGAUGGAAACCUUCUUCUAGCAAUAUAUAUCCACCAGACCUACUAUGCAUCAGACACUGCUUUACAUGUUGGGGUCCAAGAUGAACAAGACAGACCUUGCCUUCCCAGAACUUUGCAUUCUUCUGUGGAGAGACUGACAAUAGACAGCUUACUAGGAGACAAGUCCAAGGUACCCCUGUGCCCGGCUGAGCUCUGAGAACUGUGAACUUCCUUAUCCACAGCCAAGAUGGAAAAUGGCUUUUAUAGUUGGGCUCCAGUCCUCGUGGAAUCCUGCAAAGGACACGGCAGAGCCUAAGGCAGAACCCAGCUGGCACUGGGAAAGAAGAGGCAUCACAG